RNAcentral lists this ribosomal RNA (868 nucleotides) under uncultured bacterium. Its description in RNAcentral is "bacterial SSU rRNA". It matches the Rfam family "Bacterial small subunit ribosomal RNA", at positions 515 to 1381 of the family's 1533-position model. The record is from RNAcentral.
CCGNGGUAAUACGUANGUGGCAAGCGUUGUCCGGAUUUAUUGGGCGUAAAGCGAGCGCAGGCGGAAGAAUAAAGUCUGAUGUGAAAGCCNUCGGCUUAACCGAGGAACUGCAUCGGAAACUGUUUUUCUUGAGUGCAGAAGAGGAGAGUGGAACUCCCAUGUGUAGCGGUGGAAUGCGUAGAUAUAUGGAAGAACACCAGUGGCGAAGGCGGCUCUCUGGUCUGCAACUGACGCUGAGGCUCGAAAGCAUGGGUAGCGAACAGGAUUAGAUACCCUGGUAGUCCAUGCCGUAAACGAUGAGUGCUAAGUGUUGGGAGGUUUCCGCCUCUCAGUGCUGCAGCUAACGCAUUAAGCACUCCGCCUGGGGAGUACGACCGCAAGGUUGAAACUCAAAGGAAUUGACGGGGGCCCGCACAAGCGGUGGAGCAUGUGGUUUAAUUCGAAGCAACGCGAAGAACCUUACCAGGUCUUGACAUCUAGUGCCAUUUGUAGAGAUACAAAGUUCCCUUCGGGGACGCUAAGACAGGUGGUGCAUGGCUGUCGUCAGCUCGUGUCGUGAGAUGUUGGGUUAAGUCCCGCAACGAGCGCAACCCUUGUUAUUAGUUGCCAGCAUUAAGUUGGGCACUCUAAUGAGACUGCCGGUGACAAACCGGAGGAAGGUGGGGAUGACGUCAAGUCAUCAUGCCCCUUAUGACCUGGGCUACACACGUGCUACAAUGGGCAGUACAACGAGAAGCGAGCCUGCGAAGGCAAGCGAAUCUCUGAAAGCUGUUCUCAGUUCGGACUGCAGUCUGCAACUCGACUGCACGAAGCUGGAAUCGCUAGUAAUCGCGGAUCAGCACGCCGCGGUGAAUACGUUCCCGGGCCC